Long non-coding RNA from Triplophysa rosa, 1212 nucleotides. RefSeq lists it as uncharacterized. The record is from RefSeq and is a predicted model, not a curated record. Lineage: Eukaryota; Metazoa; Chordata; Actinopteri; Cypriniformes; Nemacheilidae. The transcript has 3 exons.
UGCCUCGCGACCAGUCACUGUUUUAUUCACCUGUCACGCAACCCGUCGCAGUUUUAUUCGCAUGUUACACUGCCUAUUAUUUGCCUUUUGAUACCCUUUCUACAAUGACAUGUUUGUGCAUUUGCUUUAUUAAUAAUGUUUUACAUGUUGGCAGACUUCAAAUAUAUAGUACAUGUUAGCAGACUAAUAUAUGUACAAUUAUUAAAAUGAUUGCUUUUUAACAGACAGAGGCAAUAAUAGAAAGAGUGUAUGAAGUCACACAACUGGCUAGAGAUUCCAUGGAGAAUACGUCCUACAUUCUGGACGUUAUGACCCCUGAGGUAACCUCAUUAUUCUCCACAAGACUGAGGGCUUUCACAGGUACCAGGGAGAAAUGGCAUUACAGUCAAACAUUUCUUUGGAGUUACCACAGCGAGCAGGAUGCAGUUCAUGGCCUGACCUGAUGGUAGAGCGGAGAAUGGGAAGUGGGGACCUGACAAGAGCUGAGAUGAUAGAGCUGGAUAAAGAAGGACGCGGUCUCUUGACAUGUCUUCACCACAAAAUUUCAAAUGCUAUUAGAUUAUUAAUGAUAAUCUUAAACUAUAAUUUAUUUUAUUAUUAAGUUUAUUUAUUUUAUUUAGCCUUGUUGUGCAAGUUCUCUGGAGCUUGUGCAGAGGCAGCAGCUUUUGCCAGAGGGGAACUGGAAUCCCCUGGUUGGGCCUGGGUUCUCCUGAGGUUUUUUUUUCUCGAUUAGAGUUUUGGGUUCCUCGCCACCGUUUGCAUACUGUUUUUGCACUAUCUGCCUGACCGGGGGGGCUGCUUUAGAAUCUUAAAGUUUUACUUAAUUAAUAUUGCAUAUAGGAAUUUAUUAUCUGUUAUAUUUGACCUGUGCUUCUCUCUCCUUUAUCCUAAAUGUGUGCUCUCACUGAGCGUGUGUGUGUGUGCGUACUUGUCUGUGUACGUACGUGUGUGUGUGUGUGUGUGUGUGUGUGUCUCUGUGUCUGUGUGUGUUGGUGCGUGUUGUGUGUGUGGAGUGUUUUGUGUGUGGGUGUGUCUGUCUUCUGUGUUUUCAACCUUUUCUUGUUUUUGCAGGUACAACUUUGAUUGUUUUGCUUGUAGUCAAUGUGUCUCAUGUACAGCUGCUUUGUAACAAUGAAAAUUGUAAAAGCGCUAUAUAAAUAAAGUUGAGUUGAGAGUUGAGUUGAGUUUAUUAAUCAGUGCUAAUCCCCGCAU